This 253-nucleotide ribosomal RNA is filed under the name uncultured bacterium. Its description in RNAcentral is "partial 16S ribosomal RNA". It matches the Rfam family "Bacterial small subunit ribosomal RNA", at positions 524 to 776 of the family's 1533-position model. The record is from RNAcentral.
UACGGAGGUGGCAAGCGUUGCUCGGAAUUACUGGGCGUAAAGCGCACGUAGGCGGGUUCUUAAGUCGGUGGUGAAAUCCUGGAGCUCAACUCCAGAACUGCCUUCGAUACUGGGAAUCUUGAGUCCGGGAGAGGUGAGUGGAACUGCGAGUGUAGAGGUGAAAUUCGUAGAUAUUCGCAAGAACACCAGUGGCGAAGGCGGCUCACUGGCCCGGUACUGACGCUGAGGUGCGAAAGCGUGGGGAGCAAACAGG